This 366-nucleotide long non-coding RNA is filed under the name Androctonus crassicauda. Lineage: Eukaryota; Metazoa; Arthropoda; Arachnida; Scorpiones; Buthidae. The record is from RNAcentral.
CGGAGUUGGCCGACUCUUGGCACGGGCGUAACCACUGAAAACGUUCACCGAUUUGAAUCCAUUAAAAAUGGCCAAUACAUUCAAACGAAUGGCCGUUAGAAUUUAAAAUAUAAAAUGGAUUUCCAUAGCGAAUGAUUCCUGACAUGAUAUAUCCAUCAGAAUUGGCUUGGUGCCGGGGAUCGGUGUGUUCGGUUUCAAGAAAAACUCUGUGUGUGUGUGUGUGUGUGUAUAUAUAUACACACACAAACACACACACACACUAUAACCUCAAUUCAGUGUUUUCAUCAAGACUCCUGAAAAAACUAUGGAUACAGGAAAAUAAUUCACACAGAGGCUAUAUAAAAUGAAAAAAAAAAUGAAAAUUAG